AGCUGGUGUAAAACGACGUACUUUCUUCAGAACUGGCCUUAGAACAAAAUAAUAAUGGCAGAUAUGACCAUCAACGUUAACUAUUUAAAAAGUUGGAAUGGAAUUAUUAAGACCUGUCAAGUGAUACUAGGUGUGAUUUGCAUAGGAAUUGUUGGUAACGAACUUAAUCGUGAAAUGAUAAUCUUGUACAGACCACCA
This is a long non-coding RNA of Cyphomyrmex costatus, 198 nucleotides long. RefSeq lists it as uncharacterized. The record is from RefSeq and is a predicted model, not a curated record. Lineage: Eukaryota; Metazoa; Arthropoda; Insecta; Hymenoptera; Formicidae. The transcript is spliced from 3 exons.